Triticum aestivum (bread wheat) is the source of this 134-nucleotide non-coding RNA. Lineage: Eukaryota; Viridiplantae; Streptophyta; Magnoliopsida; Poales; Poaceae. The record is from Rfam.
UAUGUACUCCCUCCGUUCCGAAUUACUUGUCUUAGAUUUGUCUAGAUACGGAUGUAUCUAGCACUAAAAUGAGUCUAGAUACAUCCAUAUCUAGACAAUCCAAGACAAGUAAUUUAGAACGGAGGGAGUAACCG